UACGUAGGGUGCGAGCGUUAAUCGGAAUUACUGGGCGUAAAGCGUGCGCAGGCGGUCUGUUAAGACCGAUGUGAAAUCCCCGGGCUUAACCUGGGAACUGCAUUUGUGACUGCAUAGCUAGAGUACGGUAGAGGGGGGAUGGAAUUCCGCGUGUAGCAGUGAAAUGCGUAGAUAUGCGGAGGAACACCGAUGGCGAAGGCAAUCCCCCUGGACCUGUACUGACGCUCAUGCACGAAAGCGUGGGGGAGCAAACA
RNAcentral lists this ribosomal RNA (254 nucleotides) under uncultured bacterium. RNAcentral's name for it is "partial 16S ribosomal RNA". It matches the Rfam family "Bacterial small subunit ribosomal RNA", at positions 524 to 774 of the family's 1533-position model. The record is from RNAcentral.